This is a long non-coding RNA of Vigna unguiculata (cowpea), 1877 nucleotides long. The record is from RefSeq and is a predicted model, not a curated record. Lineage: Eukaryota; Viridiplantae; Streptophyta; Magnoliopsida; Fabales; Fabaceae.
GUAGAGAAUUAUUUCCUAUAGCUUAUUAUAAAACCGUAGGGGGUUCUCGUUUCAACUUCAAAAUAAAUUAAUUCUUCUAUUAUUUGUUGAGAUUAAGCAAUCGCAGCCACGAACUAGCAGGGCAGCCGCAACCACCGCAGCUACGACGAAUGUAGCCACGACCACCACACCCACCACAUGUUCGUCCGCAGCCACGACCUUGCAGAGCAGCUGCAGCCAUCGCAGCUACGACGAACGCACCCACGAUCACCGCACCCACUACAGCCGCAGCCACGAUCUCGUAGUGCAGCCGCAGCCAUCGCAGCUACGACGAACGCAACCACGACCACCGCACACACCACAUUCGCAGCCACGAUCUCGUAGUGCAGCUGCAGCCACCGCAGCUACGACGAACGCACCCACCACAGGUCUGCUGCACAAGUUUCAGUAUUAAGAGUUGCACAUCCAACUUGGUUCCAUCUUCCUUUUCCUAAUUCUAGAAUGGCAUCUAAGAGUUGUGGCAAGUUGGACACAUUAAAAGAGUUAUAUGAUUGGAUAAUGAAAUGAAGACUUUCAUUACUGAAAGCAUAUCCUCAAAUGGUCCAGCCAGUUGUCUUUUCCGCUUAUUGAUGGUAAUGCGUAAAGGCAACUCUCUUCCAACUCGUUUGUGUCAAAUUUUAUUAGAAAAGUACCAAAUCAAAGUCGAACGCCUAGACUUUUUUUCUUUCUUAGUCAAUGACAUUUGCAUGAACAUCACGCUUGAGGAUGUUCUUUUUUUAACUGAGCUACCCAUUAAUGGGAAACCUAUCAUUCCAGCUUUUAGUCGUGAUGAGGAUGCGUUUUCUAUAUUUGAGUCCAAUACAAAGACCCUUAGACUUGGUGAAUUGAAAAGAAUUGCAUGUGGACAAGGGCCACAAAACCAUAAGAUUUAUGAUGUACUAUUAUUCAUUAUCAAUUGUAUAAUAGUACCAUAAGGGGAUGGACAUUUAUGUCGCCCUACAUAUGUUCAAUUCAUUAAGGAAUUGAACGAUGUAAAUGGUUAUGCUUGGGGGUUGCAUUACUUUCAUUCCUCUAUCAUGGGAUGAAGAAGUAUAGAAAAGGACAUAAGAAAUUUUGUGAUGGCAACAUGUGGGUUCUAUUGGUAAGAAAAAUUCUUUUGUUGAGUUUUUCUUUCUUUUUUAUGAUUUUUGAUAUUUUAACAAGUUGAUGUGUUUUUUUUUUCUUUUAUAGGAUUUUUUUUAUACCACAUUCCAAAAUUGCGGGAAGAGCUUCAAAUUGACCUCCACCAAGUGCAGCCGCCAACACUCUUGUUAUUUUUGGUUGUUGAGGCAUUGCAUAAGAUAGAUGGAGACCACUAUGCAACUUAUGAACAAAAAAUAAUUUCCAUUUUAAACAAUCUCGAAGACAUGGAUAUGGAUUGACACCCAUAUACCAUGGAAAUGUUGCCUGCGCAGCUCCAUGGUCAGAUUCCUUUCAAGACACGUGUAUCCCCAAUGUUUUGCUUUAAUUUUGUGGAACAUCAUCUUCCACAUCUUUCAGCUAAACAAUUUGAAGUGCUUGAGGGGUUAAAUCUGGAUGGGAUUGAAGAUUCUCUUGAAUUGAUCAAAUGCAAGAGUAAGCUAUUUGCGGAGAAUUGCAUUAAUAGACUGUUGUCUAUGGAGUGAGCCUUAAGCCAAAGUUGACUCGACUGAACCUUUAUCAUAAGUUGGCUCAACUCGACAUGACCUUUGUGUUAGUGAAGUGAGAGUAAAGUGAAAAUGAGUGAAAUUUCAAAAUUCUUAUAUUUUUUAUGGUAUUUAAAAUUGUUCUAUUUUCUUCAUUUGAAUACCUUCAAAAUUUCUUAAAUUUAAAUUUCUUUCGAAUUACUUUAUCCAAACAAAUCAUUUUAGUGUAAAGAA